CUACGGAACUCCUACGGGAGGCAGCAGUGGGGAAUAUUGGACAGUGGGCGAAAGCCUGAUCCAGCCAUGCCGCGUGUGUGAAGAAGGUCUUCGGAUUGUAAAGCACUUUAAGUUGGGAGGAAGGGCAUUAACCUAAUACGUUAGUGUUUUGACGUUACCGACAGAAUAAGCACCGGCUAACUUCGUGCCAGCAGCCGCGGUAAUACGAAGGGUGCAAGCGUUAAUCGGAAUUACUGGGCGUAAAGCGCGCGUAGGUGGUUUGUUAAGUUGAAUGUGAAAGCCCCGGGCUCAACCUGGGAACUGCAUCCAAAACUGGUAAGCUAGAGUAUGGCAGAGGGUGGUGGAAUUUCCUGUGUAGCGGUGAAAUGCGUAGAUAUAGGAAGGAACACCAGUGGCGAAGGCGACCACCCGGGCUAAUACUGACACUGAGGUGCGAAAGCGUGGGGAGCAAACAGGAUUAGAUACCCCGGUAGUCCUCUUCGA
This 483-nucleotide ribosomal RNA is filed under the name uncultured bacterium. RNAcentral's name for it is "bacterial SSU rRNA". It matches the Rfam family "Bacterial small subunit ribosomal RNA", at positions 328 to 803 of the family's 1533-position model. The record is from RNAcentral.